This 301-nucleotide ribosomal RNA is filed under the name uncultured bacterium. Its description in RNAcentral is "partial 16S ribosomal RNA". It matches the Rfam family "Bacterial small subunit ribosomal RNA", at positions 509 to 807 of the family's 1533-position model. The record is from RNAcentral.
CAGUAGCCGCGGUAACACGGAGGGUGCAAGCGUUAAUCGGAAUUACUGGGCGUAAAGCGCACGCAGGCGGUCUGUCAAGUCAGAUGUGAAAUCCCCGGGCUUAACCUGGGAACUGCAUUUGAAACUGGCAGGCUAGAGUCUUGUAGAGGGGGGUAGAAUUCCAGGUGUAGCGGUGAAAUGCGUAGAGAUCUGGAGGAAUACCGGUGGCGAAGGCGGCCCCCUGGACAAAGACUAACGCUCAGGUGCGAAAGCGUGGGGAGCAAACAGGAUUAGAUACCCGAGAAGUCCCUGUCUCUUAUAC